UCAGUAACGGCGAGUGAAGCGGCAAGAGCUCAAAUUUGAAAUCUGGCACUUUCAGUGUCCGAGUUGUAAUUUGAAGGCUGGUCUCUGGCGAGGCGCCCCGUCUAUGUUCCUUGGAACAGGACGUCGCAGAGGGUGAGAAUCCCGUGUGAUGGGNGCGCCGAGCUGUGUAGAGGCCUGCCGACGAGUCGAGUUGUUUGGGAAUGCAGCUCUAAGUGGGUGGUAUACUCCAUCUAAAGCUAAAUACUGGCGAGAGACCGAUAGCGAACAAGUACAGUGAUGGAAAGAUGAAAAGAACUUUGAAAAGAGAGUGAAAAAGUACGUGAAAUUGUUGAAAGGGAAGGUUAUUGGAUCAGACUUGGCGGGUGUGGAUUCCCUUUCCCUUGUGGAGAGGAUUAC
This 396-nucleotide ribosomal RNA is filed under the name Barnettozyma sp. RNAcentral describes it as "partial large subunit ribosomal RNA". It matches the Rfam family "Eukaryotic large subunit ribosomal RNA", at positions 80 to 475 of the family's 3401-position model. Lineage: Eukaryota; Fungi; Ascomycota; Saccharomycetes; Phaffomycetales; Phaffomycetaceae. The record is from RNAcentral.